UGGUGGGUAGUUUGACUGGGGCGGUCUCCUCCUAAAGAGUAACGGAGGAGCACGAAGGUUGGCUAAUCCUGGUCGGACAUCAGGAGGUUAGUGCAAUGGCAUAAGCCAGCUUGACUGCGAGCGUGACGGCGCGAGCAGGUGCGAAAGCAGGUCAUAGUGAUCCGGUGGUUCUGAAUGGAAGGGCCAUCGCUCAACGGAUAAAAGGUACUCCGGGGAUAACAGGCUGAUACCGCCCAAGAGUUCAUAUCGACGGCGGUGUUUGGCACCUCGAUGUCGGCUCAUCACAUCCUGGGGCUGAAGUAGGUCCCAAGGGUAUGGCUGUUCGCCAUUUAAAGUGGUACGCGAGCUGGGUUUAGAACGUCGUGAGACAGUUCGGUCCCUAUCUGCCGUGGGCGCUGGAGAACUGAGGGGGGCUGCUCCUAGUACGAGAGGACCGGAGUGGACGCAUCACUGGUGUUCGGGUUGUCAUGCCAAUGGCACUGCCCGGUAGCUAAAUACGGAAGAGAU
This 507-nucleotide ribosomal RNA is filed under the name Escherichia coli. Its description in RNAcentral is "partial 23S ribosomal RNA". It matches the Rfam family "Bacterial large subunit ribosomal RNA", at positions 2259 to 2765 of the family's 2925-position model. The record is from RNAcentral. Lineage: Bacteria; Pseudomonadati; Pseudomonadota; Gammaproteobacteria; Enterobacterales; Enterobacteriaceae.